Molecule: ribosomal RNA, 1503 nt
Filed under: Triticum aestivum (bread wheat)
Lineage: Eukaryota; Viridiplantae; Streptophyta; Magnoliopsida; Poales; Poaceae
Description: partial small subunit ribosomal RNA
Source: RNAcentral
AUGGCGACCUCCUCUCUUGCUCCGCCUGAGGUGCCCAUGGAGCUGCAUGCGGGCAACCGUGACCGCCUCUUAACCGCACUUCGUGCCCGCCUCUCCGCCACCGCUAGCCCUCCCCGUGGCCUUGCCCUCCUCCAGGGCGGUGAGGAGCAGACACGACACUGCACUGAUCAUCUCGAGCUGUUUAGGCAGGAGAGCUACUUUGCUUAUCUCUUCGGAGUGCGUGAGCCAGGGUUCUAUGGCGCUAUAGACAUCGCCUCUGGACAAUCGAUUUUGUUUGCUCCAAGGUUGCCACCUGACUAUGCUGUCUGGAUGGGUGAAAUAAAACCACUCCCUUAUUUUAAGGAUAGGUACAAGGUCGAUUUGGUCUUCUAUGUCGAUGAGAUUGUGCAGGUUCUGCAAGAUCGAUUCAGUCAGCAUGGAAAGCCUGUGUUGUUUCUCUUGUAUGGAAAGAGUACUGACAGCGGAAAUUACUCAAAGCCUGCUAGUUUUGAAGGGAUAGAGAAGUUUGACACCGAUUUGGGUACACUCCACCCUAUCUUAACUGAAUGUCGUGUUAUCAAAUCUGAAAUGGAGCUUGCCCUCAUUCAAUAUGCCAAUGAUGUUAGCUCAGAAGCACACAUUGAGGUUAUGAGACAGGCAAAACCAGGCAUGAAGGAAUAUCAGUUAGAAAGCAUAUUUCUUCAUCAUUCUUAUAGGUAUGGAGCCUGUCGACAUUGCUCCUACACAUGCAUAUGCGCUACCGGAGAGAAUAGUUCUAUUCUUCAUUAUGGACAUACGGCUGCUCCAAAUGACCGGACGCUGAAUGAUGGAGACAUGGCUCUAAUGGACAUGGGAGCUGAAUAUAAUUUCUAUGGCUCUGACAUCACAUGUUCAUACCCCAUAAAUGGGAAGUUCAACAGCAACCAGGCAACAGUAUACAAUUCUGUCCUUAAGGCUCAUAAUGCUGUCAUAUCACACAUGCAGCCUGGAGUAAAAUGGGUUGAUAUGCACAAGCUGGCCGAGCAGACAAUACUUGAAUCUCUCAAGAAUGAAAAGAUUAUCCAUGGUGAUAUUGCUGAUAUGAUGACUCGAAGGUUGGGUGCUGUUUUCAUGCCUCAUGGUCUUGGGCACUUGCUUGGAAUUGACACCCAUGAUCCCGGAGGCUACCCUGAGGGCUUAGAGAGGCCAAAGGAGCCAGGACUGAGCUCCUUGCGGACCAUAAGAGAACUUAAAGAAGGCAUGGUUAUUACGGUUGAGCCAGGCUGUUAUUUCAUCGAUGCUUUGCUGCGGCCUGCCAGGGAUGAUCCAGUUUCCUCAAAAUUCUUCAACUGGGAAGAGAUUGAGAAGUACAAAAGUUUUGGUGGUGUUCGUAUUGAAAGUGAUCUGUAUGUGACGGCACAAGGAUGCAAGAACCUGACAAACUGCCCCCGGGAGACCUGGGAAAUCGAAGCGGUAAUGGCUGGCGCGCCAUGGCCUCCACGUGCUUCCGUGACAAGAGCAGAGAACGGACUGCCCAAAGCCUGA